Molecule: ribosomal RNA, 441 nt
Filed under: uncultured bacterium
Lineage: Bacteria
Description: partial 16S ribosomal RNA
Rfam family: Bacterial small subunit ribosomal RNA
Source: RNAcentral
CCUACGGGAGGCAGCAGUGGGGGAUAUUGCACAAUGGGGGGAACCCUGAUGCAGCGACGCCGCGUGGGUGAAGGAGCGUUUCGGCGCGUAAAGCCCUAUCGGCAGGGAAGAAGGAGGACGGUACCUGACUAAGAAGCCCCGGCUAACUACGUGCCAGCAGCCGCGGUAAGACGUAGGGGGCAAGCGUUAUCCGGAUGUACUGGGUGGAAAGGGGGCGCAGACGGCAGCGCAAGCCAGGAAUGAAAGCCCGGGGCCCAACCCCGGGACUGCUCUUGGAACUGCGCGGCUGGAGUGCAGGAGGGGCAGGCGGAAUUCCUGGUGUAGCGGUGAUAUGCGUAGAUAUCAGGAGGAACACCGGUGGCGAAGGCGGCCUGCUGGACUGCGACUGACGUUGAGGCCCGAAAGCGUGGGGAGCAAACAGGAUUAGAUACCCGAGUAGUC